Non-coding RNA from Caerostris darwini, 112 nucleotides. Lineage: Eukaryota; Metazoa; Arthropoda; Arachnida; Araneae; Araneidae. The record is from the annotation of a GenBank genome assembly.
GCAGCCAUAUUAUGCUAAAUAUACCGGUUCUCGUUUGAUCACCGAAGUUCAAGCAUCAUCGGGCGUGGUCAGUACUUGGGAGGAUGACCAAGUAGAAACACCACGUGCCGUU